RNAcentral lists this ribosomal RNA (255 nucleotides) under uncultured bacterium. Its description in RNAcentral is "partial 16S ribosomal RNA". It matches the Rfam family "Bacterial small subunit ribosomal RNA", at positions 524 to 776 of the family's 1533-position model. The record is from RNAcentral.
GACGUAGGGUGCAAGCGUUUGUCCGGAUUUACUGGGCGUAAAGAGCGCGUAGGCGGCUCGUUAAGUGUGAAGCUAAAUCUCUUGGCUCAACCAAGAAACUAUUUCGCAUACUGGCGGGCUGGAGUGAUGCAGAGGUGGAUAGAAUUCCCGGUGUAGCGGUGAAAUGCGUUUGAUAUCGGGAGGAAUACCCGUGGCGAAGGCGGUCCACUGGGCCUUACCUGACGCUGAGGAGCGAAAGCGUGGGGAGCAAACAGG